Molecule: ribosomal RNA, 496 nt
Filed under: uncultured bacterium
Lineage: Bacteria
Description: partial 16S ribosomal RNA
Rfam family: Bacterial small subunit ribosomal RNA
Source: RNAcentral
GAUGAACGCUGGCGGCGUGCCUAAUACAUGCAAGUCGAGCGAACAGACGAGGAGCUUGCUCCUCUGACGUUAGCGGCGGACGGGUGAGUAACACGUGGAUAACCUACCUAUAAGACUGGGAUAACUUCGGGAAACCGGAGCUAAUACCGGAUAAUAUAUUGAACCGCAUGGUUCAAUAGUGAAAGACGGUUUUGCUGUCACUUAUAGAUGGAUCCGCGCCGCAUUAGCUAGUUGUUAAGGUAACGGCUUACCAAGGCAACGAUGCGUAGCCGACCUGAGAGGGUGAUCGGCCACUGAGGAGCUGAGACACGGUCCAGGCUCCUACGGGAGGCAGCAGUAGGGAAUCUUCCGAAAUGGGCGAAAGCUUGACGGAGCAACGGCGCGUGAGUGAUGAAGGGCUUCGGAUCGGAAAACGCUGUUAUGAGGGAAGAACAAAUUUGUAAGUAACUAUGCACGUCUGGACGGUACCUAAUCAGAAAGCCACGGCUAACUACGU